AUUGAACGCUGGCGGCAUGCUUUACACAUGCAAGUCGAACGGCAGCACGGGCUUCGGCCUGGUGGCGAGUGGCGAACGGGUGAGUAAUGCAUCGGAACGUGCCCAUUUGUGGGGGAUAACUACGCGAAAGCGUGGCUAAUACCGCAUACGCCCUGAGGGGGAAAGCGGGGGAUUCUUCGGAACCUCGCGCAAUUGGAGCGGCCGAUGUCAGAUUAGCUUGUUGGUGAGGUAAAGGCUCACCAAGGCGACGAUCUGUAGCGGGUCUGAGAGGAUGAUCCGCCACACUGGGACUGAGACACGGCCCAGACUCCUACGGGAGGCAGCAGUGGGGAAUUUUGGACAAUGGGGGCAACCCUGAUCCAGCCAUGCCGCGUGAGUGAAGAAGGCCUCGGUUGUAA
Molecule: ribosomal RNA, 398 nt
Filed under: uncultured bacterium
Lineage: Bacteria
Description: bacterial SSU rRNA
Rfam family: Bacterial small subunit ribosomal RNA
Source: RNAcentral